This 508-nucleotide ribosomal RNA is filed under the name uncultured bacterium. RNAcentral's name for it is "partial 16S ribosomal RNA". It matches the Rfam family "Bacterial small subunit ribosomal RNA", at positions 28 to 507 of the family's 1533-position model. The record is from RNAcentral.
GACGAACGCUGGCGGCGUGCCUAAUACAUGCAAGUCGAGCGCUUCUUUCCUCCCGAGUGCUUGCACUCAAUUGGAAAGAGGAGUGGCGGACGGGUGAGUAACACGUGGGUAACCUACCCAUCAGAGGGGGAUAACACUUGGAAACAGGUGCUAAUACCGCAUAACAGUUUAUGCCGCAUGGCAUAAGAGUGAAAGGCGCUUUCGGGUGUCGCUGAUGGAUGGACCCGCGGUGCAUUAGCUAGUUGGUGAGGUAACGGCUCACCAAGGCCACGAUGCAUAGCCGACCUGAGAGUGUGAUCGGCCACACUGGGACUGAGACACGGCCCAGACUCCUACGGGAGGCAGCAGUAGGGAAUCUUCGGCAAUGGACGAAAGUCUGACCGAGCAACGCCGCGUGAGUGAAGAAGGUUUUCGGAUCGUAAAACUCUGUUGUUAGAGAAGAACAAGGACGUUAGUAACUGAACGUCCCCUGACGGUAUCUAACCAGAAAGCCACGGCUAACUACGUG